CGCGGCCUAUCAGCUUGUUGGUGAGGUAACGGCUCACCAAGGCAUCGACGGGUAGCUGGUCUGAGAGGAUGAUCAGCCACACUGGGACUGAGACACGGCCCAGACUCCUACGGGAGGCAGCAGUAGGGAAUAUUGCACAAUGGGCGAAAGCCUGAUGCAGCAACGCCGCGUGCGGGAAGAAGGCCCUAGGGUUGUAAACCGCUUUCAGCAGGGAAGAAAAUGACGGUACCUGCAGAAGAAGGUGCGGCCAACUACGUGCCAGCAGCCGCGGUGACACGUAGGCACCAAGCGUUGUCCGGAUUUAUUGGGCGUAAAGAGCUCGUAGGCGGUUCAGUAAGUCGGGUGUGAAAACUCUGGGCUCAACCCAGAGACGCCACUCGAUACUGCUGUGACUCGAGUGCGGUAGGGGAGCGGGGAAUUCCUAGUGUAGCGGUGAAAUGCGCAGAUAUUAGGAGGAACACCAGUGGCGAAGGCGCCGCUCUGGGCCGUAACUGACGCUGAGGAGCGAAAGCGUGGGUAGCAAACAGGAUUAGAUACCCUGGUAGUCCACGCCGUAAACGUUGGGCACUAGGUGUGGGUCUCAACCAACGAGAUCCGCGCCGUCGCUAACGCAUUAAGUGCCCCGCCUGGGGAGUACGG
This 639-nucleotide ribosomal RNA is filed under the name uncultured Actinomycetes bacterium. RNAcentral's name for it is "bacterial SSU rRNA". It matches the Rfam family "Bacterial small subunit ribosomal RNA", at positions 232 to 885 of the family's 1533-position model. The record is from RNAcentral. Lineage: Bacteria; Bacillati; Actinomycetota; Actinomycetes.